This 1435-nucleotide ribosomal RNA is filed under the name metagenome. RNAcentral's name for it is "bacterial SSU rRNA". It matches the Rfam family "Archaeal small subunit ribosomal RNA". The record is from RNAcentral.
ACCCGUUGAUCCUGCGGGAGGAUGCUGCUAUUGGGGUUCGACUAAGCCAUGCAAGUUCAGGCGCUCUUCGAGAGCACCGGCAUCAUGCUCAGUAACACGUCGGUAACCUAACCUUAGAUUCUGAAUAACCUCGGGAAACUGAGGGUAAUGCGGAAUAAGAGAAGAUAACUGGAAGGUAUUUUCUCCAAAAGGUGUCGUCUAAGGAUGGGCCGGCGGUCGAUUAGGUUGUUGGCGGGGUAAUGGCCCACCAAGCCUAGGAUCGAUAGGGGCCUUGAGAGAGGUAGCCCCGAGAAGGACACUGAGACACGGGUCCUAGCCCUACGGGGUGCAGCAGGCGCGUAACCUUUACACUGCACGAAAGUGCGAUAAGGGAACCCCAAGUGCUAAUGCUGUGCAUUAGCUUUUGCCAAGAGCAAAAAUCUUGGCGAAUAAGUGAUGGGUAAGACUGGUGCCAGCUGCCGCGGUAACACCAGCGUCACGAGUGGCAUCCAUUUUUAUUGGGUCUAAAGUGUCCGUAGCUGGAUUUGCAAGUCUUCUGUGAAAGCGUUGGGCUCAACCUAACGAAUUGCAGGAGAUACUGCAGAUCUUGAGACCGGGAGGGGCUAGAGGUAUUCUUAGGGUAGCGGUAAAAUGCGAUAAUCCUGGGAGGACCACCUGUGGCGAAGGCGUCUAGCUAGAACGGGUCUGACAGUGAGGGACGAAGGCUAGGGGAGCGAUCCGGAUUAGAUACCCGAGUAGUCCUAGCAGUAAACGCUGCAAGUUAGGUGUUGCAUAACCUUCAGGGUUGUGCAGUAUCGUAGGGAAGCCGUUAAACUUGCCACCUGGGGAGUACGGCCGCAAGGUUGAAACUUAAAGGAAUUGGCGGGGGAGCACUACCAGGGGUGCGGCGUGCGGUUUAAUCUAAUUCAACACAGAAAAUCUCACUAGAAGCGACAGCAGAAUGAAGGUCAGAUUGAAGGUUUUACCUGACAAGCUGAGAGGUGGUGCAUGGCCGUCGUCAGCUCGUGCCGUGAGGUGUCCUGUUAAGUCAGGCAACGAGCGAGACCUGUAUUUACAAUUGCUAGCGACUAUUCAUAGGAUCGAGCACAUUGUAGAAACUGCCUUGGAAACAAGGAGGAAGGUGCAGGCAACGAUAGGUCUGUAUGCCCCGAAUCUUCUAGGCUACACGCGCGCAACAAUGGUAAGCACAAUAGGACGCAACUCCGAAAGGAGAAGCUAAUCCCACAAAGCUUAUCCUAGUACAGAUCGGGGGCUGUAACUCGCCCUCGUGACGCCGGAAUCCCUAGUAAUCGUACUUCAACAGAGUACGGUGAAUAUGUCCCUGCUCCUUGCACACACCGCCCGUCAAACCAUCCGAGCAGGGUCUAGAUGAGUUCUAGCUUAUUGGUUAGGACGAAUCUAGGCUCAGUGAGGCGGGUUAAGUCGUCACAAGGUA